AGAGUUUGAUCCUGGCUCAGGAUGAACGCUAGCGAUAGGCUUAACACAUGCAAGUCGAGGGCAGCAUGGUCUUAGCUUGCUAAGACUGAUGGCGACCGGCGCACGGGUGCGUAACGCGUAUGCAACUUGCCUCACAGAGGGGGAUAACCCGUCGAAAGACGGACUAAUACCGCGUACACUCUAUGUUGGGCAUCCAAUGUAGAGGAAAUGAAAUUCGCUGUGAGAUAGGCAUGCGUCCCAUUAGCUAGUUGGUGAGGUAACGGCUCACCAAGGCGACGAUGGGUAGGGGAACUGAGAGGUUGAACCCCCACACUGGUACUGAGACACGGACCAGACUCCUACGGGAGGCAGCA
This 353-nucleotide ribosomal RNA is filed under the name uncultured bacterium. RNAcentral describes it as "bacterial SSU rRNA". It matches the Rfam family "Bacterial small subunit ribosomal RNA", at positions 8 to 353 of the family's 1533-position model. The record is from RNAcentral.